UUCCGGUUGAUCCUGCCGGACCUUACUGCUAUCGGGGUGGGACUAAGACAUGCGAGUCACGCGUCUCUAGCUAUGUUGAGACGCGGCAGACGGCUCAGUAACGCGUGGCUAACCUGCCCUCAGGACGAAGAUAACCCCGGGAAACUGGGGAUAAUACUCGAUAGGUGAGAAUGUCUGGAAUGACUUUUCUCCUAAAGGACUUAGAUACAUGCUUCUAUUUCGCCUGGGGAUGGGGCCGCGCCCGAUCAGGUUGUUGGUGAGGUAACGGCUCACCAAGCCUAUAACCGGUACGGGCCGUGAGAGCGGUAGCCCGGAGAUGGGUACUGAGACAAGGACCCAGGCCCUACGGGGCGCAGCAGUCGCGAAAACUCCGCAAUGCACGAAAGUGUGACGGGGCUACCCCGAGUGCCAUCCGCUGAGGAUGGCUUUUCUUUGGUAUAACUAGCCAUUGGAAUAAGGAGAGGGCAAGACUGGUGUCAGCCGCCGCGGUAAUACCAGCUCUCCGAGUGGUAGGGAUGAUUAUUGGGCUUAAAGCGUCCGUAGCCGGCUUAGCAAGUUUCCUGUUAAACUCAGCGACUCAAUCGUUGGAUCGCGGGAAAUACUACUAGGCUAGGAGGCGGGAGAGGUCAACGGUACUUCUGGGGUAGGGGUGAAAUCCUAUAAUCCCGGGAGGACCACCAGUGGCGAAGGCUGUUGACUAGAACGCGCUCGACGGUGAGGGACGAAAGCUGGGGGAGCGAACCGGAUUAGAUACCCGGGUAGUCCCAGCUGUAAACUAUGCGAGCUAGGUGUUGAGAUGGCUACGGGCCAUUUCAGUGCCGCAGGGAAGCCAUUAAGCUCGCCGCCUGGGGAGUACGGCCGCAAGGCUGAAACUUAAAGGAAUUGGCGGGGGAGCACCACAAGGCGUGAAGCUUGCGGUUCAAUUGGAUUCAACGCCGGA
This 940-nucleotide ribosomal RNA is filed under the name uncultured archaeon. RNAcentral's name for it is "bacterial SSU rRNA". It matches the Rfam family "Archaeal small subunit ribosomal RNA", at positions 1 to 922 of the family's 1478-position model. The record is from RNAcentral.